Molecule: long non-coding RNA, 759 nt
Filed under: Cyanistes caeruleus (blue tit)
Lineage: Eukaryota; Metazoa; Chordata; Aves; Passeriformes; Paridae
Description: lncRNA (ENSCCEG00000010878.1)
Source: RNAcentral
UUCCCAGCUUGAGCUGAAAAACUGACCACUGUAUACGGAUGUUAAAUGUUUGGAAAUGAGAAAUUCAGAGGACUGUAUAACAGCAUCAGUGUAACAGACCUCCUGUGUAUAUUUGAACCUAUUGGUCAGUGGCUGCUUAAGACCUUCCUAAUGCUGAAGGUCUGAUGUCAUGUUCCAAGUGACUUAUGCAGUCAGCAGUGCAGUUUUGUUUUUCAGACUGAGGAAAUGGGAGGGUGAAUUUGGGAAAUGAAGUUGACAGGAAGCUGACACUGUGCUGAUAAAGUAAAGUAAGGCAAGCUUUGCAGUUGUGCCAUGUUCUGUAGUUUCACUGCUGAAGUGCCUGCAGGCCACCUAUAUGUGAAAAUGGACAAGGAUUUGGAAAAGGCCUCGAGGUGUAUCUGUGCUGGAUAUAGAACUGAGUUAUUUCUGUCAGAUGUAUCCUCCUGGAAAGUGGGUUUGACCUACACUGUUGGACUGAAUGACCACGUCAGCAAGGUGCUGGACAGGGUCACUCACUGGUGGAUGUUUCUGCAGAGAGAGAACUGUUCUCAGCCAUGCAGAUAUUCUCUGAAGAGUUCAGAUACUGUCACCAAGGAGUGGUCCAGUCCACAUCUCAUUAGGAUGAGGAAACUGCCCUGCUUUAGAGGACUGGUGUCAAACUCUCAAGGUCUUUUUUGUUCAGGAGGUCCUCAAGUGCUGUGGAAAAAUAGAAGAGUGUCAAUAACGGAUUUGAACAUGAGCUGCCAACAAGCUGGAUGA